GACGAACGCUGGCGGCGUGCCUAAUACAUGCAAGUAGGACGCAGUUUCGAACGGGUGAGUAACGCGUAGGUAACUAUCUCUUAGAGGGGGAUAACUAAUUGAAACGAUAGCUAAUAUCGCAUACUAGUAGAUGGACCUGCGUUGUAUUAGCUAGUAGGUUGGGUAAUUGCCUACCUAGGCAACGAGACAUAGCUGAACCUGGGGGGGGGUCGGGCACACUGGGACUGGGACAAGGCCCAGACUCCUACGGGAGGCAGCAAUAGGGAAACUUCGGCAAUGGGGGGAACCCUGGCCGGGCAAAGGCGCGGGAGUGAAGAAGGUUUUCGGGUCGUAAAGCUCUGGUGUUAAGGGAGCGGUACUUAACCAGAAAGGGACGGCUAACUACGUGCCAGCAGCCGCGGUAAUUC
Molecule: ribosomal RNA, 407 nt
Filed under: uncultured bacterium
Lineage: Bacteria
Description: partial 16S ribosomal RNA
Rfam family: Bacterial small subunit ribosomal RNA
Source: RNAcentral